CCGGAAUUGAGUCUGGAAACACCACCGGGGACAGGCUGCUCCCUGGGCCCUUGAGUGAUCGAGGGGAGUGAAGUGCUAGGACAUACGGCACACCCCUACAGAGGGCCACUUCUCCAAGGUCAAGAAAUGGAGAACAUGUGAACACCGAUAACCAUGUUGCCAAAGAGAGUGAGAGGGAACAGAAGAGAUGUAUGAGGAGCGAUGGGACUUCAGAGGACUAAGAAAUCACUUCUGAUUGAUGGAUUUGGGGAAGGAUUCAUGGAGAAGGCAGCCUUCAACCUGGUUUUUGAAGGAGGACAUGGUUUGGGGAAAGGGUUUUCCAAGCUUACAGGCCGUCCCAAGGGGAUGAAGGGUUGACUCCAUCACUGGAUGCUGUUACUAUGGUGAGGCUGGUGAUCACUGAGGGGACGCUUUUCACUGGAGUCCUGAUGAUGAAAUCCAGAUUUCAAAUGCUGAAUGUGUCAGGGGAAAAGGGAAACUCAAUAGCAUGCCCAUUUUCAGGAUACUGUGUGCCUCAACCCAAGAAUGGAACACAGUACAUUUGAGAAUGGUUUCAACAAGAUGGUGAUUAAAGAGUAUUUUUUGUAAAC
Bubalus bubalis (water buffalo) is the source of this 590-nucleotide long non-coding RNA. RefSeq lists it as uncharacterized. The transcript has 3 exons. The record is from RefSeq and is a predicted model, not a curated record. NCBI's taxonomy places the organism in Eukaryota, Metazoa, Chordata, Mammalia, Artiodactyla, Bovidae.